This 415-nucleotide ribosomal RNA is filed under the name Epyris sp. RNAcentral's name for it is "partial large subunit ribosomal RNA". Lineage: Eukaryota; Metazoa; Arthropoda; Insecta; Hymenoptera; Bethylidae. The record is from RNAcentral.
AAACAUCUCUUUAUGAAUAAAAUAAUAAGUUGACUCUGCUCUAUGAAUAUUAAAUGGCUGCAGUAUUUUAACUGUACAAAGGUAGCAUAAUAAAUUGGUUUUUAAUUAAAAUCUUGUAUGAAAGAGGUGAUGAAAUAUAAACUUUAUUAUAUUUAAAUAUUGAAUUUUAUUUUAAAGUAAAAAAGCUUUAAUUUUUUUAAGGGACGAGAAGACCCUAUAGAAUUUAAUAUAAUAAUUAUUAUAUAAUGUAUUAAUUAUUAUAUUUGUUUGGGAGGAAUAUUAAAUUUUUAAACUUUAAUUUUUAAAUUACAUAAAUAAAUGAAUUAAAUAGAAUUUAUAAUUUAAAUAAAAAAUUAAAUUACCUUAGGGAUAACAGCGUAAUAUUUUUUUAUAGUUCUUAUUGAAAAAAAUGUUU